This 440-nucleotide ribosomal RNA is filed under the name uncultured bacterium. RNAcentral's name for it is "partial 16S ribosomal RNA". It matches the Rfam family "Bacterial small subunit ribosomal RNA", at positions 338 to 795 of the family's 1533-position model. The record is from RNAcentral.
CCUACGGGUGGCAGCAGUAGGGAAUAUUGCUCAAUGGGGGAAACCCUGAAGCAGCAACGCCGCGUGGAGGAUGAAGGUUUUCGGAUCGUAAACCCCUUUUGUUAGAGAAGAUAAUUCCGUUAUCUAAUCAAUACUCCCUGGCUAACUCCGUCCCAGCAGCCGCGGUAAUACGGAGGGCGAAAGCGUUCCUCGGAAUCACUGGGCGUAACGAGCGCGUAGGCGGGAUAGCAAGUCAGAGGUGAAAUCCUAUGGCUUAACCAGAGAACUGCAGUUGAAACUGUUCUUCUGGAGUGUGGGAGAGGUAGGUGGAAUUCUUGGUGUAGAGGUAAAAUCCGUAGAGAUCAAGAGGAAGACUCAUGGCGAAGGCGACCAGCUAGAACAUAACUGACGCUGAGGCGCGAAAGCGUGGGGAGCAAACAGGAUUAGAUACCCCAGUAGUC